UAAUACAUGCAAGUCGAGCGAAUGGAUUAAGAGCUUGCUCUUAUGAAGUUAGCGGCGGACGGGUGAGUAACACGUGGGUAACCUGCCCAUAAGACUGGGAUAACUCCGGGAAACCGGGGCUAAUACCGGAUAACAUUUUGCACCGCAUGGUGCGAAAUUGAAAGGCGGCUUCGGCUGUCACUUAUGGAUGGACCCGCGUCGCAUUAGCUAGUUGGUGAGGUAACGGCUCACCAAGGCAACGAUGCGUAGCCGACCUGAGAGGGUGAUCGGCCACACUGGGACUGAGACACGGCCCAGACUCCUACGGGAGGCAGCAGUAGGGAAUCUUCCGCAAUGGACGAAAGUCUGACGGAGCAACGCCGCGUGAGUGAUGAAGGCUUUCGGGUCGUAAAACUCUGUUGUUAGGGAAGAACAAGUGCUAGUUGAAUAAGCUGGCACCUUGACGGUACCUAACCAGAAAGCCACGGCUAACUACGUGCCAGCAGCCGCGGUAAUACGUAGGUGGCAAGCGUUAUCCGGAAUUAUUGGGCGUAAAGCGCGCGCAGGUGGUUUCUUAAGUCUGAUGUGAAAGCCCACGGCUCAACCGUGGAGGGUCAUUGGAAACUGGGAGACUUGAGUGCAGAAGAGGAAAGUGGAAUUCCAUGUGUAGCGGUGAAAUGCGUAGAGAUAUGGAGGAACACCAGUGGCGAAGGCGACUUUCUGGUCUGUAACUGACACUGAGGCGCGAAAGCGUGGGGAGCAAACAGGAUUAGA
RNAcentral lists this ribosomal RNA (753 nucleotides) under Bacillus mycoides. RNAcentral describes it as "bacterial SSU rRNA". It matches the Rfam family "Bacterial small subunit ribosomal RNA", at positions 49 to 782 of the family's 1533-position model. Lineage: Bacteria; Bacillati; Bacillota; Bacilli; Caryophanales; Bacillaceae. The record is from RNAcentral.